GACGUAGGGCGCGAGCGUUGUCCGGAUUUAUUGGGCGUAAAGAGCUCGUAGGCGGCUUGUUACGUCGACUGUGAAAACCCGCGGCUCGAACCGCGGGCCUGCAGUCGAUACGGGCAGGCUAGAGUUCGGUAGGGGGAGACUGGAAUUCCUGGUGUAGCGGUGAAAUGCGCAGAUAUCAGGAGGAACACCGGUGGCGAAGGCGGGUCUCUGGGCCGAUACUGACGCUGAGGAGCGAAAGCGUGGGGAGCGAACAGG
RNAcentral lists this ribosomal RNA (255 nucleotides) under uncultured bacterium. RNAcentral's name for it is "partial 16S ribosomal RNA". It matches the Rfam family "Bacterial small subunit ribosomal RNA", at positions 524 to 776 of the family's 1533-position model. The record is from RNAcentral.